This 433-nucleotide ribosomal RNA is filed under the name uncultured bacterium. Its description in RNAcentral is "partial 16S ribosomal RNA". It matches the Rfam family "Bacterial small subunit ribosomal RNA", at positions 29 to 507 of the family's 1533-position model. The record is from RNAcentral.
AACGAACGCUGGCGGCAUGCCUAACACAUGCAAGUCGAACGAGACCUUCGGGUCUAUUGGCGCACGGGUGGGUAACCGGUGGGACCCUGCCCUUAGGUUCGGAAUACCUCCCCGAAGGGGUUCCUAUUACGGGAUAAUUUCUCCGACCAAAAGAUUUAUCGCCUUUGGAUGGGCCCGCGUUGGAUUAGCUAGUUGGUAGGGUAAAAGCCUACCAAGGCGACGAUCCAUAGCUGGUCUGAGAGGAUGAUCAGCCACACUGGGACUGAGACACGGCCCAGACUCCUACGGGAGGCAGCAGUGGGGAAUAUUGGACAAUGGGCGAAAGCCUGAUCCAGCAAUGCCGCGUGAGUGAUGAAGGCCUUAGGGUUGUAAAGCUCUUUUACCCGGGAUGAUAAUGACAGUACCGGGAGAAUAAGCUCCGGCUAACUCCGUG